Long non-coding RNA from Drosophila nasuta, 577 nucleotides. RefSeq lists it as uncharacterized. Lineage: Eukaryota; Metazoa; Arthropoda; Insecta; Diptera; Drosophilidae. The record is from RefSeq and is a predicted model, not a curated record. The transcript has 3 exons.
GUAUACAUUAUAUAGUAUUUAUUACAGUCUUUUCAAAAACUACUGAAGUUAAUCGCCCAGCUAUAAAUUAAUCGGAUUACAGGGUGUUCCACAGAAAUUAUUAGUAAUUUUCGAUAAAUUGAGACAGUUGCUUUUUGUAUACUAAUAUUUUUAUUUUACAACAAAAUAUAAAAUAAUAGACGCACAAUUUCAGAUCAAUCGAUGUUCUAUGAGUAUCCUAAAAUGUAACCAAAAAACACCCCCAGAAAAUAGAUGCAGCCAAUGGGACACUCUGUUGUAUCAUGCGACCAAUAGCAGGCUGUGGUGAAAAUAGUUCAUGGUGAAAAUAGUACAAGUUCAACAAAGCGGUCAUGCAGACACAACAAUUUACCACAUUGCCCUCUACACUUGUACCAAAUUUGUAUAUGUAUAGUAUAUUAAAAAGAAGGUCGAAAUGUGGCUCUGCUCAAGCCGCAGAGCUCUAAGUUUCGCAGACAAAAUAAAAUUAAAAGCAAAUUGGCGUAAAACAUAUUUAAUUAUAAGUACUUAUGAAAAUUGUAUGUAUCAUUCAUUCUCAAUCCGUGUAUAUUUCUAUUAC